AAAUAGAUACCCCGGGUAGUCCACGCCGUAAACGAUGAGUGCUAAGUGUUAGAGGGUUUCCGCCCUUUAGUGCUGCAGCUAACGCAUUAAGCACUCCGCCUGGGGAGUACGGCCGCAAGGCUGAAACUCAAAGGAAUUGACGGGGGCCCGCACAAGCGGUGGAGCAUGUGGUUUAAUUCGAAGCAACGCGAAGAACCUUACCAGGUCUUGACAUCCUCUGCCAACCCUAGAGAUAGGGCGUUCCCCUUCGGGGGACAGAGUGACAGGUGGUGCAUGGUUGUCGUCAGCUCGUGUCGUGAGAUGUUGGGUUAAGUCCCGCAACGAGCGCAACCCUUGAUCUUAGUUGCCAGCAUUCAGUUGGGCACUCUAAGGUGACUGCCGGUGACAAACCGGAGGAAGGUGGGGAUGACGUCAAAUCAUCAUGCCCCUUAUGACCUGGGCUACACACGUGCUACAAUGGAUGGUACAAAGAGCUGCGAACCCGCGAGGGUAAGCCAAUCUCAUAAAGCCAUUCUCAGUUCGGA
This 524-nucleotide ribosomal RNA is filed under the name uncultured bacterium. Its description in RNAcentral is "bacterial SSU rRNA". It matches the Rfam family "Bacterial small subunit ribosomal RNA", at positions 776 to 1297 of the family's 1533-position model. The record is from RNAcentral.